RNAcentral lists this ribosomal RNA (408 nucleotides) under uncultured bacterium. Its description in RNAcentral is "partial 16S ribosomal RNA". It matches the Rfam family "Bacterial small subunit ribosomal RNA", at positions 29 to 526 of the family's 1533-position model. The record is from RNAcentral.
AGUGAACGCUGGCGGCGUGCCUAAUACAUGCAAGUCGAACGGAGUGGCGCACGGGUGUGUAAUAUAUAUCUACUCUGCCCCUUGCCGGAGGACAAACGUUAGAAAUGACUGCUAAUACUCCAUAGCAAGGGAUGAGACUAUAUCGUAUCAGCUAGUCGGUGGGGUAACGGCCUACCGAGGCUAUGACGCGUAACUGGUCUGAGAGGGUGAUCAGUGAGAUUGGAAGAGAGACACGGUGCAAACUCCUACGGGAGGCAGCAGUAGGGAAUAAUGCGCAAUGGGGGAAACCCGGAGGCAGCAACGCCGCGUGGAGGAUGAGACUGUUCGGAGCGUAAAGUCCUUUUGUUAGGGAAGCGGUGCCUAGCGAGUAGGCAGCGGCUAACUCCGUGCCAGCAGCCGCGGUAAUUC